GGUGACACCCAUUACUUCCCCACAUUUCUUCCCUUUCUUGGCCAUCUUCGAGUCCUUCGAUAUCGAAAGCGCUGCUGUCCUCCGUUUCACCAGCGGUGCUUUCGUCAAGAGACGAGUCAUCGUUGACCAAAAGGUAUGUAAUUGUCCCUAAGUUCUUUUACUCAACCAAAAAGAACGAAGAGAGAGAGAGACAAGAGUGAUUUUGAAAGACAAGAAACUAUGCGAAAACCUAAUUGUUGAUUCAUUUUGAAACGGGUUUCCAGAUCAACGAAGAAAACACAGAGGAAAAUCGCGGGGCAUAAGGGAGAGAAAAGGAAAAUCCAACGAGAAAAUUAAAGAGAAUAUUUUCUUUAAACAAAGCAUACCGCUUAAUUAAGCAAAGUGGAC
This 387-nucleotide long non-coding RNA is filed under the name Gossypium barbadense (sea-island cotton). RNAcentral describes it as "long non-coding RNA (GBAR_LNC003671)". The record is from RNAcentral. Lineage: Eukaryota; Viridiplantae; Streptophyta; Magnoliopsida; Malvales; Malvaceae.